AUCUUCUUAGCUCAGUUGGUUAGAGUGUGGUGGUGCUCAGAAUGCCAAGGUUGCAGGUUCGAAUCCUGUGUGGGAUA
Non-coding RNA from Podarcis lilfordi (Lilford's wall lizard), 77 nucleotides. Lineage: Eukaryota; Metazoa; Chordata; Lepidosauria; Squamata; Lacertidae. The record is from the annotation of a GenBank genome assembly.